This 305-nucleotide non-coding RNA is filed under the name Staphylococcus kloosii. Lineage: Bacteria; Bacillati; Bacillota; Bacilli; Caryophanales; Staphylococcaceae. The record is from RNAcentral.
UUAAAGGGAAGAAAUCCACAUCACGUGGUUCUUUUGAAGCAACAGCAGUAGAAAGUACUACCGUGUCUCCAUAACGUACAAGCGCAGCACCAUUAGCUUGCUUAGCUAAUUGUCCUGUCUCGAUUGUUAAUGAACGGUUUGCCCAUUCAGUUUUAAAAACUUUUUUCUCUUGAGACAUUAUAAAUCUCCUCUCCUAUAUCUAAUAAUCCUAUCAUAUCAUUUAUUUAAGUAAUUUUAUAUUAGUAUAUUUAAGUAUUAUCAACCUAUUUCUUAUCGAACAACUACUAUAAUAUACUAAUUUUUGA